GGAUAUAUAUUGCAAAAACAAAAAACUAAAACCAAAUGAAUUCUUAAUUUAUUCUUGGGGUACCCAAACAUGUUCCCCACCCGCCCUUAUUAAACCGAUCUGUUAAUGAAGCAGCCUCCAAAUCGUUGCACUACAAACAGGUUCUUCCAGUGCUUCAUGCAAAUCCACAUGCCUCUGACUGACCACCGUGCCAUAUACGCACGUCAAAAUCGAAGAAGAAAUGAAGAAGUAACCUCAAGCCGCUCUCAACAGAUGGCUGAAGUUCACCUGUUUUCCUCCUCCAAUGAUAGCAACAAGCAGAUUGCAAAAACGAAGUGAUGUUAAGUACCUGCUCACCAAAAGAAACACGAGCUCGAAAUCCGAAAUGUCACAGUAUCACGUCAAAGCCCAGGCUGUCUGCUACAGGUUGAAAGCAGAAACAGUCCAAUUCGCUGCGCCAAUCAGAAGAUAACGCUGAGCCCGUGAAGACAUGUUCUCACUGCAGGUGCCACCCAAACAAACUUGAUAGCAGCAGCUGCAUCCAACGGCAGAAGCGUACAAAAAUGGUCACAUAUGCAAGAAACAGAUCUGCAGAAACCAAAACANN
RNAcentral lists this long non-coding RNA (586 nucleotides) under Selaginella moellendorffii. RNAcentral's name for it is "long non-coding RNA (SMOE_LNC001905)". Lineage: Eukaryota; Viridiplantae; Streptophyta; Lycopodiopsida; Selaginellales; Selaginellaceae. The record is from RNAcentral.